Capsicum annuum is the source of this 668-nucleotide long non-coding RNA. RefSeq lists it as uncharacterized. Lineage: Eukaryota; Viridiplantae; Streptophyta; Magnoliopsida; Solanales; Solanaceae. The transcript is spliced from 3 exons. The record is from RefSeq and is a predicted model, not a curated record.
UAAAGAGAUCCGAUCCAAAAGCCUAAAAAUGAACAUAUAUCAGUAGGGUUUCCAAAAAGGUGCAACUUCAGCUCCCUCUUCACCGUUGCUCUACGUACUCUUCCAUAGCUGUCCUUGAAAAUCAUCAGUUCGUGCUUCUUCUUUUGUGGGUGAUAAACACCGUGCCAUGGAUGGAUAUUAGCAUCUUGCCUUCCAGCUUGCAAGAUUGUGUUCUCCAGUGUAAGGAUCCCUUCUGUUCUUUUUGGUGCUAAAAAUGUGGUCUGGUCAGUUGAGCUUUGGUACUUAGUCCAGCUAUGGAAGGGAGGAAGAUUGUAUGGAGCUCGAAUCCACUUGUAGUCGAACAAGACCAAAAACCUCAACGGCAUGAAUUGAAGAUCUGACCUAAAGACCUCCCCAUCUACUGAGAGUCCUUUUUGUUUGGUUGGUGUAUGUAGGCUAACUUUUUUUUGUAGCUGAAGAGGUUGUAAAUAUAACCCUUUCCCUUUAGCCUUUCUAGUUCAUUUAGCUUGUUGCUACUACUAAUCUCAGAUAACAUCUUUGCUGCUUAUCAUUAUUCAAUAUCUUCCUUUCUGCACUUGGUAACUGAUUGAAGGAAGUAUAUGCGAAUUGUUCAUGUUCCAAAGUUAUGUUGGCUAAGUCAUCUACUAAUUGAUUGUCUUCCCUGUAAA